This 728-nucleotide ribosomal RNA is filed under the name Achromobacter denitrificans. RNAcentral's name for it is "bacterial SSU rRNA". It matches the Rfam family "Bacterial small subunit ribosomal RNA", at positions 23 to 746 of the family's 1533-position model. The record is from RNAcentral. Lineage: Bacteria; Pseudomonadati; Pseudomonadota; Betaproteobacteria; Burkholderiales; Alcaligenaceae.
CUCAGAUUGAACGCUAGCGGGAUGCCUUACACAUGCAAGUCGAACGGCAGCACGGACUUCGGUCUGGUGGCGAGUGGCGAACGGGUGAGUAAUGUAUCGGAACGUGCCCAGUAGCGGGGGAUAACUACGCGAAAGCGUAGCUAAUACCGCAUACGCCCUACGGGGGAAAGCAGGGGAUCGCAAGACCUUGCACUAUUGGAGCGGCCGAUAUCGGAUUAGCUAGUUGGUGGGGUAACGGCUCACCAAGGCGACGAUCCGUAGCUGGUUUGAGAGGACGACCAGCCACACUGGGACUGAGACACGGCCCAGACUCCUACGGGAGGCAGCAGUGGGGAAUUUUGGACAAUGGGGGAAACCCUGAUCCAGCCAUCCCGCGUGUGCGAUGAAGGCCUUCGGGUUGUAAAGCACUUUUGGCAGGAAAGAAACGUCGUGGGUUAAUACCCCGCGAAACUGACGGUACCUGCAGAAUAAGCACCGGCUAACUACGUGCCAGCAGCCGCGGUAAUACGUAGGGUGCAAGCGUUAAUCGGAAUUACUGGGCGUAAAGCGUGCGCAGGCGGUUCGGAAAGAAAGAUGUGAAAUCCCAGAGCUUAACUUUGGAACUGCAUUUUUAACUACCGGGCUAGAGUGUGUCAGAGGGAGGUGGAAUUCCGCGUGUAGCAGUGAAAUGCGUAGAUAUGCGGAGGAACACCGAUGGCGAAGGCAGCCUCCUGGGAUAACACUGACGC